GACGAACGCUGGCGGCGUGCUUAACACAUGCAAGUCGAACGGAAAGGCCCUGCUUUUGUGGGGUGCUCGAGUGGCGAACGGGUGAGUAACACGUGAGUAACCUGCCCUUGACUUUGGGAUAACUUCAGGAAACUGGGGCUAAUACCGUAUAGGAGCUCCUGCUGCAUGGUGGGGGUUGGAAAGUUUCGGCGGUUGGGGAUGGACGCGCGGCUUAUCAGCUUGUUGGUGGGGUAGUGGCUUACCAAGGCUUUGACGGGUAGCCGGCCUGAGAGGGUGACCGGCGACAAUGGGACUGAGGGACGGCGCAGACUCCUACGGGAGACAGCAGGGGGGAAUAUGGCACAAUGGGCGGAAGCCUGAUGCGGCAACGCCGCGUGCGGAAUGACGGCCUUCGGGUUGUAAACCGCUUUCGCCUGUGACGAAGCGUGAGUGACGGUAAUGGGUAAAGAAGCACCGGCUAACUACGUG
This 468-nucleotide ribosomal RNA is filed under the name uncultured bacterium. Its description in RNAcentral is "partial 16S ribosomal RNA". It matches the Rfam family "Bacterial small subunit ribosomal RNA", at positions 28 to 507 of the family's 1533-position model. The record is from RNAcentral.